This 229-nucleotide ribosomal RNA is filed under the name uncultured bacterium. RNAcentral's name for it is "partial 16S ribosomal RNA". It matches the Rfam family "Bacterial small subunit ribosomal RNA", at positions 568 to 796 of the family's 1533-position model. The record is from RNAcentral.
UGCGUAGGCGGGCUAAUAAGUCAGUGGUGAAAUCUUUCGGCUCAACCGAGAAACUGCCAUUGAUACUGUUAGUCUUGAGUUCGGUUGAGGUAGGCGGAAUGUGUAAUGUAGCGGUGAAAUGCUUAGAUAUUACACAGAACACCAAUUGCGUAGGCAGCUUACUAGACCGACACUGACGCUGAGGCACGAAAGCGUGGGGGACUAACAGGAUUAGAUACCCUGGUAGUCC